UACGUAGGUGUCAAGCGUUGUCCGGAUUUAUUGGGCGUAAAGCGCCCGCAGGCGGCUUGCCAAGUUCGAUGUGAAAUCUCCCGGCUCAACUGGGAGGGUGCAUCGAAAACUGGCAGGCUUGAGGCAGGGAGAGGGAUGUGGAAUUCCAGGUGUAGUGGUGAAAUGCGUAGAUAUCUGGAGGAACACCGGUGGCGAAGGCGACAUCCUGGACCGGCAUUGACGCUGAGGCGCGAAAGCCAGGGGAGCAAACGGG
Molecule: ribosomal RNA, 253 nt
Filed under: uncultured bacterium
Lineage: Bacteria
Description: partial 16S ribosomal RNA
Rfam family: Bacterial small subunit ribosomal RNA
Source: RNAcentral